UCCGUUUUGCACCAAUUUCUUUUAGUUUUUUUUCUUAAAAUAAAUAAAAAAUUCAAUUAGAAUUGAUUUUUUUACUUUUGUUGCUUUCCUUUAACUAAAAAAUCUUAAUCUUAACCUAAAAUCUUAAUCUUUUUAGUAACAAGCUUGGCUUUAGCUUUCAAGCAUUACGUUUCAAAACAUUGUUUCAAGCAUUACCCAACACGAAGCCUUAGCGUAUACAAUUUACAGUAGGUCAAGGGCUGAUCUGCAUUAAGGAGAAAUCACAGGGGAGGUCCAUGUAUUUUAUCAUCUUUUUGGUGUUAGGUUGGGGGGUUAGUGAGCCCUCACCAGAUGGAGCGGGCUUCCAAAAAUUGACGGGCGAGCCCACCCGAAGUAGGAGCGGGCCCACUCGCCUUAAAUGGUUUGUGUUCGUUCGUUCGUGGGUGUUGGCGCGACCCGCCGUCUCUUAACGAUCAUAGACGCGUCGCCUUUCACCCCCGACAGGACGAGU
Molecule: long non-coding RNA, 490 nt
Filed under: Actinidia chinensis (golden kiwifruit)
Lineage: Eukaryota; Viridiplantae; Streptophyta; Magnoliopsida; Ericales; Actinidiaceae
Description: long non-coding RNA (ACHI_LNC004641)
Source: RNAcentral